Non-coding RNA from Paramuricea clavata, 350 nucleotides. Lineage: Eukaryota; Metazoa; Cnidaria; Anthozoa; Malacalcyonacea; Plexauridae. The record is from the annotation of a GenBank genome assembly.
UGAAAAACAGGAAACAGCAGUCUUUAUAGGAUUUCCUUUUUUUAAUCUACGCCCUUCAAAGUAAAUUACCCUCAAUAACUACAAUUCAUAAUGUUGACACUAACUUGCGUACAUGCAAAUGAAGACCAUUGAUUGUUAAAAGAUUACCACACAAGUCUCAGGGAACACACUGUUUGCGAACACACGAGAUUGUAAGUUGACAGUGUAUUAGCCAUUCCGAACUUGAUGAGUGGACUGGGGACGAGUGUUAAAAAGUUCCCAAAUUAAGAAAUGAACCAAUUCACUAAAGCCGACCACCUCAAAAUUAGUAAGUAUACAAAGUUUGAAGACAUUUACAUGAAUAGCCUUCG